Lolium perenne is the source of this 2091-nucleotide RNA transcript. RefSeq lists it as uncharacterized. The record is from RefSeq and is a predicted model, not a curated record. NCBI's taxonomy places the organism in Eukaryota, Viridiplantae, Streptophyta, Magnoliopsida, Poales, Poaceae.
GGCGACGUGCAGUCGCUUCCUCCACGUCCUCCCAUGGCGACCACUCUCCCAACCUCCGCCUCCGCCACCAGCGCCGCCGCUCGCAUCCUCCAAUCGACGGUCCGAUGCCGCUUCCCUAGAACCUCUCCCGUGCUCGCCCCUUCGCGUUCCGCAACUCGCCGCUUCUCCGGUGUCGCCUGCUCUCCCGGAAUUGGCGGCGUCGGCGGCCAAGCCACUCCCCGGGAGGACACCGUCCGCAUCGUGGCCGUCGUUGGCGACGGGAGCAUCAGCCCGCUGAAAGAUACGCCCUGGGAGGAGGUUAUGCGCCAUACGGCUGAUAGGCUGAAGUGGGUUGAUGAAGGAUUCGAAAUGCUUGUCUUCACAGACAAGUCGAUGGACCAUGGUGCUUUUAGGGAGGAGCUGUCUCGCUGUGAUAUGCUAGUCAAUGUUGCAAUAACGGGGCAGGAGUCCGUCCAGUGGCUCAUACAGAACAGUAAGAACAUUCCGAAUGUACUUUGCUUUCAGUCAUCUCCGUCGUUACUGAACAAGCUAGGAGGCAGAUAUGUUCAAUAUACCGGAGCGCAGGACUUCUUUGGCAAGCUAGCCAGUGUUGGCAAACCAAGUGGCGCCGAGGAAUCAACUGAAGUCCUCAAAACCAUAUCCAAUGCCUGGGAAAGGCACAACUCAGAUGACAUCAGGUUUUGCCUACUCGUUGUGGUUAACGCGUACAUAAGACCAGUUGAUAUGCUGCAAAACCUAAGGGCAAAAGGUCUCUCCACCCUAAGCUGCAUGAUAAAAAACUGUGGCCCUCAAAUUCUGAAUUGCCUCUUUGACCCCGACUGUAGGAAAGCCAUUCAGUGUUUGAAUUCUUGCUCUCCAACCGAUCAAGUCUGCAACUACCGCUGUAUUGCGUCUUACGAGAGUCCGCAACUGGAGGCCUUUUCUCUCUGUGUUUUGCAGAAGCACAACUGUCUAGAGCUAAAUGCUGCGAUCCCUAGUAAGCCUUUUGUAAGCCCGUUAUCCAUGUUCAGAGAACAGCAGCUUAGCCAUGAAGUUGCGGAAGACCUGUUUGUCGGUUGGCUGGACAAUUUGGAAUGGAGCUGGAGAGUUGUAGCUGGACAAAAUCCAGCAUAUGAUCAAUUCCCGUGCCAGUACCAAAUAUUCUACAGAGGGAAAGCGAAAGGUUCGUUUUGGUAUGAGCCAAUUUUUCAAGUCAAAACCCUGGAUGAGAAGCUAGUUUGGCGGCGCAGAAAAUACCGAGUGAGAAGAGCUAGCAUCCCUGGUACAUUCUAUUUCAGUGUACUGGAUAAUGGUGUUGUUUCAAAAGAGUUUUGGACAAUUGUUGAUGUUUCAGAUGACUUCAGCUGGGGCCUGUUCCAUUAUCAUGGAGCUGCUCAGGCUGCUGGACAAUCAUACACUGGAGCGGUGCUUGUUACCCCUGAUGGGUCUUAUCCUGACGGGGACAACCCAAGACUGGAUUCUGCUUUAGAGAAGUGUGGUAUUAAGAAAUGGGAGCUUUAUAUGGUCGAUAACUGCUCCUGCAUGGGUGCUCCUUUGGGAAUUCCAGAAGGUUCGCGACUACAUUAUCAGAUUGCUCCUGGAAACGAAGCUGGUAUUAUGCAGAGAAUAUGAUGAUCUAUUUGAACAGCAUGAAAGGGCAAUUUCAUUUCCCAACUGAUGUACUCAUGCACCUGUACUUACAAAGAUGUAACGAAUGACACAGGUGUCACCGAAUGGAGUUUAUGUGUAAUUGGCUGAUAUUAUCAUGCAAUGAUCAAGUGGAUGGCCCAGAUUUUGCUGGAAUCCAGUAGCACACAAAUGACUACGCGUAGCACUGUAUAUGUUCUCAUGUUCAUCACCUAUCUAAAGCAUCUUGAAGUGUUCCCAUUUAGUUGCUGGAGCAUCUUGCGAUGUUCAGACGGUCUCAGAUCAGUGUCACUAUGCAGUUGUUUCUCUAUCUUUGUCAAGCAGAAGUGACGUGCCUAGGACAAGUUAGAGAGUAAGCAAGUCUCCCACGUCUGGUUGACUUGCUUUAUAGGAGUACCACAAUCCGCAUGUUUCAGAUUUUAUAUUCUGCAGUUUACAGAUCUGAAUCCUAGUGGAUAAUGCAAA